AUUGAACGCUGGCGGCAUGCCUUACACAUGCAAGUCGAACGGCAGCACGGGAGCAAUCCUGGUGGCGAGUGGCGAACGGGUGAGUAAUGUAUCGGAACGUGCCCAGUCGUGGGGGAUAACGCAGCGAAAGCUGUGCUAAUACCGCAUACGAUCUAUGGAUGAAAGCGGGGGAUCGCAAGACCUCGCGCGAUUGGAGAGGCCGAGAUCAGAUUAGGUAGUUGGUGGGGUAAAGGCCCACCAAGCCUGCGUUCUGUAGCUGGUCUGAGAGGACGAGCAGCCACACUGGGACUGAGACACGGCCCAGACUCCUACGGGAGGCAGCAGUGGGGAAUUUUGGACAAUGGGCGCAAGCCUGAUCCAGCAAUGCCGCGUGCAGGACGAAGGCCGUCGGGUUGUAAACUGCUUUUGUACGAGACGAAAAGACUCGCUCUAAUACAGUGGGUACAUGACGGUAUCGUAAGAAUAAGCACCGGCUAACUACGUGCCAGCAGCCGCCGUAA
This 500-nucleotide ribosomal RNA is filed under the name uncultured bacterium. Its description in RNAcentral is "partial 16S ribosomal RNA". It matches the Rfam family "Bacterial small subunit ribosomal RNA", at positions 30 to 523 of the family's 1533-position model. The record is from RNAcentral.